Molecule: ribosomal RNA, 217 nt
Filed under: Neisseria meningitidis
Lineage: Bacteria; Pseudomonadati; Pseudomonadota; Betaproteobacteria; Neisseriales; Neisseriaceae
Description: partial 23S ribosomal RNA
Rfam family: Bacterial large subunit ribosomal RNA
Source: RNAcentral
AAACUAAGAAUACCAUCAAGUGGUUCCUCGGGAGACAGACAGCGGGUGCUAACGUCCGUUGUCAAGAGGGAAACAACCCAGACCGCCAGCUAAGGUCCCAAAUGAUAGAUUAAGUGGUAAACGAAGUGGGAAGGCCCAGACAGCCAGGAUGUUGGCUUAGAAGCAGCCAUCAUUUAAAGAAAGCGUAAUAGCUCACUGGUCGAGUCGUCCUGCGCGG